GGCUGGGGAUACAGCUCAGUUGGUAGAGUGUUUGUCUUGCAUGCACAAGGCCCUGGGUUCAAUCCCCAGCCCGCCCC
RNAcentral lists this transfer RNA (77 nucleotides) under Marmota monax (woodchuck). Its description in RNAcentral is "tRNA.Ala". The stretch from base 13 to 69 matches the Rfam family "tRNA", at positions 9 to 63 of the family's 71-position model. From Rfam's summary of the family: Transfer RNA (tRNA) molecules are approximately 80 nucleotides in length. Their secondary structure includes four short double-helical elements and three loops (D, anti-codon, and T loops). Lineage: Eukaryota; Metazoa; Chordata; Mammalia; Rodentia; Sciuridae. The record is from RNAcentral.